Molecule: ribosomal RNA, 433 nt
Filed under: uncultured bacterium
Lineage: Bacteria
Description: partial 16S ribosomal RNA
Rfam family: Bacterial small subunit ribosomal RNA
Source: RNAcentral
AACGAACGCUGGCGGCAUGCCUAACACAUGCAAGUCGAACGAGACCUUCGGGUCUAGUGGCGCACGGGUGCGUAACGCGUGGGAACCUGCCCUUAGGUUCGGAAUAACUCCCCGAAAGGGGUGCCAAUACCGGAUAAUGUCUUCGGACCAAAGAUUGAUCGCCUUUGGAUGGGCCCGCGUUGGAUUAGCUAGUUGGUAGGGUAAAAGCCUACCAAGGCGACGAUCCAUAGCUGGUCUGAGAGGAUGAUCAGCCACACUGGGACUGAGACACGGCCCAGACUCCUACGGGAGGCAGCAGUGGGGAAUAUUGGACAAUGGGCGAAAGCCUGAUCCAGCAAUGCCGCGUGAGUGAUGAAGGCCUUAGGGUUGUAAAGCUCUUUUACCCGGGAUGAUAAUGACAGUACCGGGAGAAUAAGCUCCGGCUAACUCCGUG